This 750-nucleotide ribosomal RNA is filed under the name Enterococcus faecium. RNAcentral describes it as "bacterial SSU rRNA". It matches the Rfam family "Bacterial small subunit ribosomal RNA", at positions 126 to 869 of the family's 1533-position model. The record is from RNAcentral. Lineage: Bacteria; Bacillati; Bacillota; Bacilli; Lactobacillales; Enterococcaceae.
CUGCCCAUCACAAGGGGAGGUGCUUGCAAACCCGUGCUAAUCCCGCCCAACAGUCUAAACCGCGCGGUUUUAAUUUGAAGAGCCCUCUCGGGUGUCGCCCAUGGGUGGACCCGGGGUGCUAUAUCUUUUUUGUGAUGUAACGGCUCACCAAGGCCAGGAUGCAGAGCCAACCUGAGGGGGUGAUCGGCCACAUCGGGACUGAGACACGGCCCAAACUCCUACUUGAGGCAGCAGUAGGGAAUCUUCGGGGUGGACGAGGUCUGACCGAGCAACGCCUCGGUGUGAAGAACGUCUUCUGAUCAUAGAACUCUGUUGUUAGAGAACAACAGCGAAGAGAGUAACUGUUCAUCCCUGGACGGCUCUAACCUGGUGCCACGGCUAAUUACAUGCCAGCAGCCUCGCUAAUACGCACGUUGCAGACGUUUUCCUGAGUUAUUGGGCGUAAAGCGAGCGCAGCUGUUUCUUUACUCUGAUGUGAAAGCCCCCGGCUCGCCGGGGAUGGUCAUUGGAAACUGGGAGACUUGAGUGCAGAACACGACAGUGGAAUUCCAUGUGUAGCGGUGAAAUGCGUAGAUAUGUGGAGGAACACCAGUGGCGAACGCGGCUCUCUGGUCUGUAACUGACGCUCAGGCUCGAAAGCGUGGGGAGCAAACAGGAUUAGAUACCCUUGUUUUUCCACGCCAUAAACGAUGAGGGCUAUCUGUUGGAGGGUUUCCGCCCUUCAUUUCUGCAUCUCACGCAAUACUCACC